RNAcentral lists this ribosomal RNA (653 nucleotides) under uncultured bacterium. RNAcentral describes it as "bacterial SSU rRNA". It matches the Rfam family "Bacterial small subunit ribosomal RNA", at positions 1 to 672 of the family's 1533-position model. The record is from RNAcentral.
ACCGAAUGAAUUUGAUCGUGGCUCAGGAUUCGUCUUGUUAGCCCUGAUUCGGCGAUCCUAGUGGCGCACGGGUGAGUAACAUGUGGGUAACCUGCCCUAGAGUUCGGGAUACCCCCUCGAAAGGGGGGCUAAUACCGGAUACGGUCCUCGGGUCGAAAGGCCUGGGGAAGAAAGGUAGCGCAAGCUGCCGCUCUUGGAGGGGCUCGCGGCCUAUCAGCUAGUUGGCGGGGUAACGGCCCACCAAGGCUAUGACGGGUAGCUGGUCUGAGAGGACGACCAGUCACACGGGGACUGAGACACGGCCCCGACUCCUACGGGAGGCAGCAGUGGGGAAUUUUCCGCAAUGGGCGAAAGCCUGACGGAGUGACGCCGCGUGUGGGACGAAGGCCUUCGGGUCGUAAACCACUGUCAGUGGGAAAGAUGGGUGUCGGCGUGAAUAGCGCCGAUAUCUGACGGUACCUGCAGAGGAAGCCCCGGCCAACUCUGUGCCAGCAGCCGCGGUAAGACAGAGGGGGCAAGCGUUGCUCGGAAUUACUGGGCGUUAAGGGCGCGUAGGCGGAAAUGGCAAGUCGGUCGUGAAAUCCUUCGGCUCAACCGAAGAAAGUCGAUCGAACUGCCGUUCUUGAGCAUUGCAAAAGAAACUGGAAUUCCCG